This 73-nucleotide transfer RNA is filed under the name Acidobacteriota bacterium. RNAcentral describes it as "tRNA-Ile". It matches the Rfam family "tRNA". Rfam says of the family: Transfer RNA (tRNA) molecules are approximately 80 nucleotides in length. Their secondary structure includes four short double-helical elements and three loops (D, anti-codon, and T loops). Further hydrogen bonds mediate the characteristic L-shaped molecular structure. tRNAs have two regions of fundamental functional importance: the anti-codon, which is responsible for specific mRNA codon recognition, and the 3' end, to which the tRNAs corresponding amino acid is attached (by aminoacyl-tRNA synthetases). tRNAs cope with the degeneracy of the genetic code in two manners: having more than one tRNA (with a specific anti-codon) for a particular amino acid; and 'wobble' base-pairing, i.e. permitting non-standard base-pairing at the 3rd anti-codon position. RNAcentral also lists the same sequence under 4 other names. Lineage: Bacteria; Pseudomonadati; Acidobacteriota. The record is from RNAcentral.
GCCCCUGUAGCUCAACGGUUAGAGCAGCAGACUCAUAAUCUGUUGGCUGUAGGUUCGAAUCCUACCGGGGGCA